CCUACGGGAGGCUGCAGUGAGGAAUAUUGGUCAAUGGGCGCGAGCCUGAACCAGCCAAGUAGCGUGAAGGAUGACUGCCCUACGGGUUGUAAACUUCUUUUAUAAAGGAAUAAAGUGAGGCACGUGUGCCUUUUUGUAUGUACUUUAUGAAUAAGGAUCGGCUAACUCCGUUCCAGCAGCCGCGGUAAUACGGAGGGUCCGAGCGUUAUCCGGAUUUAUUGGGUUUAAAGGGAGCGUAGAUGGGUUGUUAAGUCAGUUGUGAAAGUUUGCGGCUCAACCGUAAAAUUGCAAUUGAUACUGGCAGUCUUGAGUACAGUUGAGGUAGGCAGAAUUCGUGGUGUAGCGGUGAAAUGCUUAGAUAUCACGAAGAACACCGAUUGCGAAGGCAGCUCACUGGACUGCAACUGACACUGAGGCUCGAAAGUGUGGGUAUCAAACAGGAUUAGAUACCCUGGUAGUC
Molecule: ribosomal RNA, 460 nt
Filed under: uncultured bacterium
Lineage: Bacteria
Description: partial 16S ribosomal RNA
Rfam family: Bacterial small subunit ribosomal RNA
Source: RNAcentral